Molecule: ribosomal RNA, 505 nt
Filed under: uncultured bacterium
Lineage: Bacteria
Description: partial 16S ribosomal RNA
Rfam family: Bacterial small subunit ribosomal RNA
Source: RNAcentral
GACGAACGCUGGCGGCGUGCCUAAUACAUGCAAGUAGAACGCACAGUUUAUACCGUAGCUUGCUACACCAUAAACUGUGAGUUGCGAACGGGUGAGUAACGCGUAGGUAACCUGCCUGGUAGCGGGGGAUAACUAUUGGAAACGAUAGCUAAUACCGCAUAAUAUUGAUUAUUGCAUGAUAAUUGAUUGAAAGAUGCUAUUGCAUCACUACCAGAUGGACCUGCGUUGUAUUAGCUAGUAGGUGAGGUAACGGCUCACCUAGGCGACGAUACAUAGCCGACCUGAGAGGGUGAUAGGCCACACUGGGACAGAGACACGGCCCAGACUCCUACGGGAGGCAGCAGUAGGGAAUCUUCGGCAAUGGACGAAAGUCUGACCGAGCAACGCCGCGUGAGUGAAGAAGGUUGUCGGAUCGUAAAGCUCUGUUGUAAGAGAAGAACGGGUGUGAGAGUGGAAAGUUCACACUGUGACGGUAUCUUACCAGAAAGGGACGGCUAACUACGUG